RNAcentral lists this ribosomal RNA (253 nucleotides) under uncultured bacterium. RNAcentral describes it as "partial 16S ribosomal RNA". It matches the Rfam family "Bacterial small subunit ribosomal RNA", at positions 524 to 776 of the family's 1533-position model. The record is from RNAcentral.
UACGAAGGGGGCUAGCGUUGCUCGGAAUCACUGGGCGUAAAGCGCACGUAGGCGGAUCUUUAAGUCAGGGGUGAAAUCCCGGAGCUCAACUCCGGAACUGCCUUUGAUACUGGAGAUCUUGAGUCCGGGAGAGGUGAGUGGAACUGCGAGUGUAGAGGUGAAAUUCGUAGAUAUUCGCAAGAACACCAGUGGCGAAGGCGGCUCACUGGCCCGGUACUGACGCUGAGGUGCGAAAGCUAGGGGAGCGAACAGG